Solanum tuberosum (potato) is the source of this 3225-nucleotide long non-coding RNA. RefSeq lists it as uncharacterized. The record is from RefSeq and is a predicted model, not a curated record. Lineage: Eukaryota; Viridiplantae; Streptophyta; Magnoliopsida; Solanales; Solanaceae. The transcript has 4 exons.
AGGGCAAAUCUGUCAAUUUGCUCAAAGAUAAAAGAAAUAAUUAGCUUUUCCUCAGCUUUUCCAGAAGACUCCAUCGUUUCAUUUCUUUUUCCCCAACAAUGGAGAAUUCCCAGAAGAAUCCUUCCAAGUGUCCAGAAUUUUCUUUCAUCCAAACUUAAAUUCAAGGUCUACUCAUUAACUUCAUCUUCAUAUAUUUGCCGUAAACUUAAAUUCCAAGAAUGGAGCAUUCUUAGGUCACCUUUUGCCUCAAUAUUUUCCCUAAUCAAGAUUAAAAUUUUCAAUUUCUAAACUAAAAUUCAUAGCUACUGUGGUUAUCGUACUACCCAACUCUCUUCUAUGUUCUCUUUGAUUUUUCAUCUGGUACUGCAAAAUCAAAUUAGCUUUUUCUCUCAAUAUUUCCCUAAUCUUCUUCGGGUGAUGUUCAGAAUUUCCCAAUUUUUAUUGGUUAAAUUCACGUCUUCUACUGUUAUUGUUCUGCCUUAACGCUUUCUUUGAUGUUCUGCCACAUUAAUUUUCUUCCUUUCAAUUUUCAUUAUCUCUUUUUCUCGAACCAGAGAAAUUGAAGAAUGCAAUUGAAAAUUAAUAGCUUCUUCAAGCCUUCUAUCAGUCAUCAUUUACUUACAACUACUUUCUUUUAUUAUAUUGUUUCUUUUGAAUGUCUCUAUGGUAGAUUCUUUUAUUACUUCUUUUUUUUUUGGAAGAGUUUAUCCGUAAUAUUUAUCAAAAAAUUUUCGUUGGUCCUUGUGUGUUAGAAGACAACAAGAGGAUCUUGAGUUGUCCUUGGAAUCAAGCAACUCAAAUAUGCAUUUAAGAUAUUGGCUUUUAAAACUUCAUCUCAAGUUACAAAAAUGUGUAAGUUUUUGUAGACACUUAUCAUGGUCUCUUCAUAUGCUAUUAUAAUAAGUUGGGAUUCAAGCUUUUUCUUUUUAUAUCGUUGAGCUUAUCAUGUGUAUGUUUGAGGUUUUUAAAAGUUUCAUAACUGAAUAAACCAUUUUCUAGCAAUUAAAAGUAAUUGAUUUGUCACUUGUCAGUUUAUCACUACUUAUUGAUAUGUAAGUAUCUAACUUCUUGAUUUAUUUGUUAGAUAGGGAGUUAAUUAUUUACUUGAGUGAUACCUCCAAAUUCUUUUUAAUGGAGUAACUAUAUUUAAAUUGAGCAAAUACUUUCUGCAGUUGCACUAUUGAAAUUUACAUCUACUAUUUCUUCCCUUUUUAAUGAAAGAGGAGCUGCUUUGUUGGUGGAAACUGCAGAUUAGACUAACAAAAUGGAUUACACUACUGUGCGUCAAUAUGUAAUUUUUCGAUAUACUGUGAACUAUUGUCUAUGGCUUUUCAGUUUUUCUUUCUUUUUCCCUUGUUGUCCAUUCCAGUGUAUAAGAGUCUGAUAUGGCAGAAAUAACAUAUUUGUAUAGGUACACUGCUAGAGUUAGAGCUAAAAGCAUACAGAAGAAACAUUGUAAUAGCUUGAAAUUAACUUAAUCAUUUCAAAAUUUCUCCAGAUAUCAAAUAAAUCAGUUUUUGAUGUCGAAACCCCAAAUUUAUUUUAUUCAUCAAAAAAGUUGAUUAAUAAUCAGAUGAUGUAGAAUCUAUAUAAGACAUGUUAUUAAAAUAUGUAGACCUAGAAAGUUCUAAAUCAUAUUUGUCUUUAUUUCCUGAUUUUGUUAUAUCUAGAUACUACAACAUGUACAUCUGAGAAGAAUGCUUAAAUUAUCAAUUUUAGAGUAACUUGAUAGCUGUUACACUUCUAAUUUGUAACUUUUGUAAUCAUAGAUUGAAUGGAUAACUGAAAAUGGUGGACUUUUAUGUGAAUAACAUGAAUAAAAUACUGAUGUAAAUACUUAAAUUUAACGUGGUAAUCCAACUUCCUUGGAAUCAUUUCCUUACAGAUAGCUAUUCGAAUAAGAAAACAAUUAGUUGAUAGUCUCUUCAACCUCAGCUUAUCAGCAACCGAAAGAAAAAUAAUAAUUAAAAAGUAUAGAUAAAGAUAGUUUAUUCAAAAAAAAAGUUGAACCCUUUUCUCUCUGAUUCACUUUUUAGAGGAUUAUGAAUAAUUUUUUUGGUGCCCAAAACAGCAUAAAAUAUCUAUCUUUUUCUGUUUUUCUGCGGUCAUAUCAUCUGGCCCUCUUUCAUUCUCCAAGAUCCAGGCUUACCCCGGUGAGUGUUGGUUGGAUUUUUGAAGUUCUAGCUUAAUAUUUAUGGGUGUAGAUAUAUGUAUUGUAUAGAUGUAAAUCUCUAUUCCUGUAUUGAUAAAUUGGAAGAAAUUUUGGCGCAUUGAUUCGAGAGAAGAGGAGACAGUUGACAGAGAUGUCAGAGGUUUUUUGUGAGGAGUGUGUGACAGACCCACUUGAGUUUAGUUCCAACAAGAACAUGUUAGAUGCUGUAUUUGAUAGUGUCGACCUUCUUCAAAAAAGGAAAGAGUUCACAACGGAGGACGACAGUAAUGUGGACAAGCCUUGAUGCCAUUUAGUUCAUUAACCUUCUUCACAGCGCACUUCAAAUAUGGACACCAGAAUUGAAGUUCACUGCUAUCUUUCUCUGUAAUUCCUAGCGCUGUCGUUAAUGGACGGGUCAAUUUUUCUAUAUUGUCGCAAUAUGCGGAAAUAUGAGUUUCAUGUUGUGGCAUUAGAAUUUAUGUUCCUUAAUCUCCUGAGGUUUCUUCGCCAUUUAUUGGAUCCUAGCUUUGACAAGCUUUCAAUGAUAAAAUUUGAAAUUUUCAAGGAAAAUUGAGACAUGGUUAAACCAACAAAUCAUGUCAAUUCUGGAGAUGGUCCUGACUACAAUAUUGAAGUCAUUGAUGUUUAUGAUAUUGUGUUGUGCAAAUUAAAUUGAACGUAACUAACUAACUGAUCGGCAAUGCAGUGAUAAAUGAUGAGAAAAAUACCAAAGGGAUGUGUGGGUGUUUCAGCUAAUAAUGCCUUCAUUUCAGAUGAAACCUCCUCAUAUCUAAUCCUAAGAUUCUACAACUUUUCAUACAUGCAAUUACACAAUCAGACGAACGAUUGCAAUGUGGCUGUAGGUGCGGUUAGAACUGAUAUUGAUUGUCUGUGUUUGUACCUUAUCAUUAACUUGAGCUAAUUUGCGCAACACUUCCGCUGGCUCUCAAUUUUAUUCCUAUUCAUUUCAUUUGUAAAUAUUGUUGUUGAAGCUUCUUUCAUUUCAUUGUUGUCUCGUAGUAUGUACAAGAUGGAAAGUGUUAUUUUCUUCAAGACAGAUUUGUUAUUUUGAA